Ylistrum balloti is the source of this 5509-nucleotide long non-coding RNA. RefSeq lists it as uncharacterized. NCBI's taxonomy places the organism in Eukaryota, Metazoa, Mollusca, Bivalvia, Pectinida, Pectinidae. The record is from RefSeq and is a predicted model, not a curated record. The transcript is spliced from 2 exons.
UUAUUUGAUGAUGUUUUUAUACAUCCAUGACAUUUUGAAACUAUUCGUAGCUUUAUGUUCUAGGUUUUGGAUGUAAUGUUGCUUCUCGUCCUCUUGCCAUUCCAUAAGUUUUUCUUUUAACAAGAAAUUAAUUAUCCAAGUGUAGGAAGAUUUGUUAACAAGAAAUUGGUCACCAGUUGUUGGAAGAUUUUAAAUCUGAAAAUAUUUUAUUUUUAGUGAAUGAUAUUUUUCAAAGCAGUCAAACCACAUCAUAAACAACAUUCAAACUCACUUAACUUGAAUACUGUGUUAUCUUGAAGUUCUGCCAUGGUCCCCUGAGUUCAAGAUAACAAAGUUUGACUGUAUUUUCAUGAUCAAUAUUUGAUAUUGGCUGUAUCAUACAGGAACAUUUGUCUGCUGUCCCAGUUUAAAACUUGCCUUAUCAAAGGGGAGAAGCUGAAGUACUGAAUAUAACCUUAACACUGAUCUGAUAUAUAUAUUGACUGAUUCAAAUGAGAAAAUCAUUUUCUUAAGUAAGUUUUUUUUUAAAUUUUUUUUGUAUUCCCUUCUUCAAAAUCCUGGGAAGAGUCUUGAAAGUCUAUUCUGUUCUUUGUUCUGCGUUCCUUGUCUUCAAUUCUUCAUUGUUUUUGCUUCCUGAUUUCACACACACCUUGUAUGUAUUACCACUGUAUGGUACACCAUGUACCAUUACCCUUGCCCAAGGUCAGAGGUCAACGUUUGUGAUUCAGAGACAGAUCUGGCCUAAUAUCACCUUGUUUUAGGUAAAUCUUAUUUGUUACACAGUUAUUACCUCCAAAGAGUGUGCUGCAUUGUACCUAAAGUCAUGGUAUAACCUACACUGAUUUAAUGUCAUCCAGGGCAAUGUCAUUGUUUCACUUCAUUUUCAGAGACUGACAGAGAAGUAUUUUCUGUUGUAAAUAGGAGCAUCAAUGUUUUUGCAAUACAUGUAUAUUUGAAAUAACUUUCUGCAUACAUAUAUUUAAAAAAAAAAUUGUAUAUUCUGUACGUAAAAUUUAUGUUUAUAGAGAGCUGUUAAAGUUGUAUCUCAGCAGUUCAUGUAUAAAUACGUUUUUAUGAAUUUGAUUCUGGAAGCUUAACAGGUAAAAUCAGAUUCUAAUUGUUUUAAUUAGGGGGUUUUAAUUCUAUCAUAAAAAAGCAAAUUAAAGAAUAUUUAGUGUUUAAUUAAUAGAAAUAUGAUUAAUUACUUCAGCAGUGUAAACAAAGAAAUGCUUUACAAAGCAUAAAAUAUAUAUUGUUUAUCCUCUCAUCUCUCUUCAGCCCCAAAAUAUUAAAUGAAUGUUGAAAAUUUGAAGUCUUCUUGAAUUCAACAUGAAUUUAACUACAGGUAAAUCAUAUCCAUUAGCAAUCUCAAUUCUCUGCCUAAGUUUAUCGGAAUUUUCAUGUUUUUAUAACAAUUGGAAACAAUCAAUCCCAAAUAUAAUUGAAAUAAGUUUCUCACUGGUACCCUAAAAUAUUGUUAAAAGCUAUCACUGGUACCCUAAAAUAUUGUUAAAAGCUAUCACUGGUACCCUAAAAUAUUGUUAAAAGCUAUCACUGGUACCCUAAAAUAUUGUUAAAAGCUAUCACUGGUACCCUAAAAUAUUGUUAAAAGCUAUCACUGGUACCCUAAAAUAUUGUUAAAAGCUAUCACUGGUACCCUAAAAUAUUGUUAAAAGCCAUCACUGGUACCCUAAAAUAUUGUUAAAAGCUAUCACAGGUACCCUAAAAUAUUGUUAAAAGCUAUCACUGGUACCCUAAAAUAUUGUUAAAAGCUAUCACUGGUACCCUAAAAUAUUGUUAAAAGCUAUCACUGGUACCCUAAAAUAUUGUUAAAAGCCAUCACUGGUACCCUAAAAUAUUGUUAAAAGCUAUCACAGGUACCCUAAAAUAUUGUUAAAAGCUAUUACUGGUACCCUUAAAUCUUGUUUAAAGCUAUCACUGGUACCCUAAAAUCUUGUUAAAAGCUACCAUUAUUUAAAUGUCACCUGAAUCAUAUUUACUAUACAAGGUGACCUUCACUACCAAAUUACCAUUUUCUUGAUCAUUAAGAAUAAAUCUUACCUAUCUCAUCAACACAGAUGUUGUUAACAAUGAGAAUUUCCUAUUUCCCCAGAAUUUACAACACAGAUGUUGUUAACAAUGAGAAUUUCCUAUUUCUCCAGAAUUAACAACACAGAUGUUGUUAACAAUGAGAAUUUCCUAUUUCUCCAGAAUUAACAACACAGAUGUUGCUAACAAUGAGAAUUUCCUAUUUCUCCAGACUUAACAACACAGAUGCUGUUAACAAUGGGAGGUUUCCUAGAGUUGACAACACAGAUGUUGUUAACAAUGGGAGGUUUCCUACUUCUCCAGAAUUAACAACACAGAUGAUGUUAACAAUGGGAGGUUUCCUAUUUCUCCAGGGUUAACAACACUGAUGUUGUUAACAAUGGGAGAUUUCCUAGAGUUAACAACACAGAUGUUGUUAACAAUGGGAGGUUUCCUAGAGUUAACAACACAGAUGUUGUUAACAAUGAUAGCUUUCCUAUUUCUCCAGGGUUAACAACACAGAUGACAUAGAUAAGAAUGGAUACAAGAGUUAAAAUAAAUAUAUAUAAGAUAACAAUAUAUCACAAUAAAUAUAACAGAUAACAAAAGAUUGUUUUUCCAAAUAUGAAGGGUUUUUUAGGAUAAUUGUAUUAUGAAAGGAACUUUUUGUAUUUAAGAAAAACAUUGUUAUUACAACAGUAAAAUUUUGGUUUUUCCUAUUGUUGCGAUUCAACAUGGAAUAUUUUGUUUUUAUAUGUUUCUGACACAGAAGGAGGUAGAUAGCAUUGACAGGUCACCACUGAUGUGAUUAUUGUAUAGGAUAUGGCAAUAUAUGAUUACAUUGUCCUUGUGAGAAAUGUUCAAUUCUAAACCUUUGUGUAACUAGAGAAUAAACUUACCUGUACACAAAGUUAUCAGUCCCGUAACACAAUGCAAAGAAUAUUCAAAUGUUUUAAAUUAAAUUGUGACUGCCAAAAAUGUAUUGUAGUACUGAAUAUCAGUAUGUACUUUAAAUGUAUCUUUUAUCUACAAAUAAUUAUCAUGGCUGUUCAUUAUAUUGUUAAGGAAAGUUAUUAGUGCUGCACUGGGAACCAGAGCUGACUAGUUUUGUCUGUCCAUCCUUCCUCUAUCUCAUCCAGGAUCUCUCUCAUACACUACAUAUCACAGGUCACUCUGACCAACAUUUUUUACCUUUGACCUUCAUCACAGAAAACUUUUGUUUGAACUCUAUCUCCUACACUACUGGUCACUAAAGCUUCUUACUUUGGGUACAUGGUCCCCUUGGCUAGUGUCAUGUAUCAAAUGUUGGUCACUCUGAUCAAUAAUUUGACCUUUGACAUUCAUCAAAGAAAAAGAUAGGCGAUAUCUCCUACACUACUAGUCACAGGGCCUUCCUACUUGGUGUAUGGGUUCAUCCUGACUGGGUGUCAGGUUCACCUUGACUGUGUGUCACCUUGACUGUGUGUCAGGUUCACCUUGACUGUGUGUCACCUUGACUGUGUGUCAGGUUCACCUUGACUGUGUGUCAGGUUCACCUUGACUGUGUGUCGGGUUCACUUUGACUGUGUGUCACCUUGACUGUGUGUCACCUUGACUGUGUGUCGGGUUCACCUUGACUGUGUGUCACCAUGACUGUGUGUCAGGUUCAACUUGACUGUGUGUCACCUUGACUGUGUGUCGGGUUCACCUUGACUGUGUAUCGGGUUCACCUUGACUGGGUGUCAGGUUCACCUUGAUUUUGUGUAAGGUUCACCUUGACUGUGUGUCACCUUGACUGUGUGUCAGGUUCAACUUGACUGUGUGUAAGGUUCACCUUGACUGUGUGUCACCUUGACUGGGUGUCAGGUUCACCUUGACAGUGUGUAAGGUUCACCUUGACUGUGUGUAAGGUUCACCUUGACUGUGUGUCACCUUGACUGUGUGUCAGGUUCACCUUGACUGUGUGUCACCUUGACUGUGUGUCGGGUUCACCUUGACUGUGUAUCGGGUUCACCUUGACUGGGUGUCAGGUUCACCUUGAUUGUGUGUAAGGUUCACCUUGACUGUGUGUUGGUGGGGGACUAAUGCCCUGAGUUGUGUUGUUUUAAUGUAGUGUUACACUUUCCUUACUGAAUAUUUUGAAGUUCAUAAAGGGUUUUCAUUCUUUUAUAAUUUGAUAUUUUAAUUUUGUGUUCAUUGUCAUAUAGACAUCUUUUUCAGUAUUAGGUGACAUUAUUAAGACCAUUCCUGGAUGUUUUGAUCUGUUCUCUGUACUCUUUUUCCUGACGUCAGUUCUGGUUUUUGUCUGACAUUGAUAAGGUGCUAUAUCAGUGUACCUUUAUAUUGGUUUUUUAUUAAGACAUCUGUGGGGUUUUAAACUUGUACUUUUUAUUGAUAUGACAUUUUAGCCAUGGGUAGAAAUGCUUAUGAGAUAAUUAUCAAAACUACUUGAGUGCCAUUGUCUGUUAUCAAAGCUACUUGAGUGCCUGUGUUUGUUACCAAAACUGCUCGAGUGCCAGUGUUUGUUAACAAAACUGCUUGAGUGCUGUAUUUGUUAACAAAACUACUCGAGUGCCAGUGUUUGUUAACAAAACUGCUUGAGUGCUGUGUUUGUUGACAAAACUACUUUAGUGCCAGUGUUUGUUAACAAAACUGCUUGAGUGCUGUGUUUGUUAACAAAACUACUCGAGUGCCAGUGUUUGUUAUCAAAAUUGCUUGAGUGGCUGUGUUUGUUAUCAAAACUACUCGAGUGCCAGUGUUUGUUAACAAAACUGCUUGAGUGCUGUGUUUGUUAUCAAAACUACUUGACUACCAGUGUUUGUUAACAAAACUGCUUGAGUGCUGUGUUUGUUAACAAAACUACUCGAGUGCUUGUGUUUGUUAUCAUAACUACUGGAGUACAAGUGUUUGUUAACAAAACUGCUCGAGUGCUGUGUUUGUUAUCAAAACUGCUUGAGUGGCUGUGUUUGUUAUCAAAACUGCUCGAGUGCCAGUGUUUGUUAACAAAACUGCUUGAGUGCUGUGUUUGUUAUCAAAACUACUUGAGUACCAGUGUUUGUUAACAAAACUGCUUGAGUGCUGUGUUUGUUAACAAAACUACUCGAGUGCCUGUGUUUGUUAUCAUAACUACUGGAGUACAAGUGUUUGUUAACAAAACUGCUCGAGUGCUGUGUUUGUUAUCAAAACUGCUUGAGUGGCUGUGUUUGUUAUCAAAACUGCUCGAGUGCCAGUGUUUGUUAACAAAACUGCUUGAGUGCUGUGUUUGUUAACAAAACUACUCGAGUGCCAGUGUUUGUUAUCAAAACUGCUUGAGUGGCUGUGUUUGUUAUCAAAACUACUCGAGUGCCAGUGUUUGUUAACAAAACUGCUUGAGUGCCUGUGUUUGUUAUCAAAACUACUGGAGUGCCAGUGUUUGUUGAUAUCAUUAAAAUGCUAUUACCUAGCAUUGUAUGUUAAACCAGUGUUUGAAGGGUGAAUUAAUUAAAAAGUAGUAUACAUUAAA